This 433-nucleotide ribosomal RNA is filed under the name uncultured bacterium. Its description in RNAcentral is "partial 16S ribosomal RNA". It matches the Rfam family "Bacterial small subunit ribosomal RNA", at positions 29 to 507 of the family's 1533-position model. The record is from RNAcentral.
AACGAACGCUGGCGGCAUGCCUAACACAUGCAAGUCGAACGAGACCUUCGGGUCUAGUGGCGCACGGGUGCGUAACGCGUGGGAACCUGCCUUUAGGUUCGGAAUACCUCAGAGAAAUUUGAGCUAAUACCGGAUGAUGUCUUCGGACCAAAGAUUUAUCGCCUUUAGAUGGGCCCGCGUUGGAUUAGCUGGUUGGUGGGGUAAAGGCCUACCAAGGCGACGAUCCAUAGCUGGUCUGAGAGGAUGAUCAGCCACACUGGGACUGAGACACGGCCCAGACUCCUACGGGAGGCAGCAGUAGGGAAUAUUGGACAAUGGGCGAAAGCCUGAUCCAGCAAUGCCGCGUGAGUGAUGAAGGCCUUAGGGUUGUAAAGCUCUUUUACCCGAGAUGAUAAUGACAGUAUCGGGAGAAUAAGCUCCGGCUAACUCCGUG